AAUGGGGGAAACCCUGAUGCAGCAACGCCGCGUGAGCGAUGAAGGCCUUCGGGUUGUAAAGCUCUGUCUUCAGGGACGAUAAUGACGGUACCUGAGGAGGAAGCCACGGCUAACUACGUGCCAGCAGCCGCGGUAAUACGUAGGUGGCAAGCGUUGUCCGGAAUUAUUGGGCGUAAAGGAUGCGUAGGUGGUCCUUUAAGUGGGAUGUGAAAUCCCUGGGCUUAACCCAGGAAUUGCAUUCCAAACUGGAGGACUAGAGUGCAGGAGAGGAAAGUGGAAUUCCCAGUGUAGCGGUGAAAUGCGUAGAGAUUGGGAGGAACACCAGUGGCGAAGGCGGCUUUCUGGACCGAUACUGACGCUGAGACGCGAAAGCGUGGGUAGCAAA
Molecule: ribosomal RNA, 385 nt
Filed under: uncultured bacterium
Lineage: Bacteria
Description: bacterial SSU rRNA
Rfam family: Bacterial small subunit ribosomal RNA
Source: RNAcentral